This 494-nucleotide ribosomal RNA is filed under the name uncultured bacterium. RNAcentral describes it as "bacterial SSU rRNA". It matches the Rfam family "Bacterial small subunit ribosomal RNA", at positions 28 to 532 of the family's 1533-position model. The record is from RNAcentral.
GAUGAACGCUAGCGACAGGCCUAAUACAUGCAAGUCAAGGGGAUAGCAAUAUCACCGGCGGAUGGGUGCGUAACGCGUACACAACGUGCCCAAGGGCGGAGGAAAGCGGCGGGAAACUGCCGGUAAUACUCCAUGGUGUUGUUGAGUGGCAUCACUUAACAACUAAAGUACAAGCGCCCUUGGAUCGGUGUGCGUUCGAUUAGCUAGUUGGCGGGGUAACGGCCCACCAAGGCUUCGAUCGAUAGGGGGUGUGAGAGCAUGACCCCCCCACACGGGUACUGAGACACGGACCCGACUCCUACGGGAGGCAGCAGUAAGGAAUAUUGGACAAUGGGCGGAAGCCUGAUCCAGCCAUGCCGCGUGAAGGACGAAGGCGCUCAGCGUUGUAAACUUCUUUUGGAUGGGAACAAUAACUCCGACUUGUCGGAACUUGAGGGUACCAUCAGAAUAAGCACCGGCUAACUCCGUGCCAGCAGCCGCGGUAAAGUCGAUAU